This is a non-coding RNA of Cucurbita pepo subsp. pepo (vegetable marrow), 1189 nucleotides long. The record is from RefSeq and is a predicted model, not a curated record. NCBI's taxonomy places the organism in Eukaryota, Viridiplantae, Streptophyta, Magnoliopsida, Cucurbitales, Cucurbitaceae.
CGAAGACGAUCACGUCGAAGGAACUCACGUUCGGGCCUUUUCGUCGCCUUCGCUCUGCCCUUCUUCUUCUCGCAGAGAUGUUUAUUACAGAAUUGGGUUGAUUUGCCUGAUUAAGGGAUGGUUUGGCGAUUAUUUCUUGGUUUGUAGCGUUAAUUGAAUCGAUUUCGAACUGAUUAGUAUUCCUAAAAUCGUGAUUGCCUUUUGAGAACGAUCUGAUCCGGCUUUUGGUGAAAGAUUGUUUGGGUUGGGUUACAUUGGACAGUAGUCGAGGGGAAUUCAGCAGAUUUUAGGGCAAAUACAUAAACAAGAUUUUUCUACGCUUACAAUGGAAUUGGAGAAUUGUCAAGAACUGUAAUAGAGCAGAACUGUAGGGCACCGACUGGUCUGACCUAUUAAGAAUUUAUUUAAACCAACUGUUGGGGAACACAUAAUGAACUCUGCCAUGUGACAUCUUUGCUGUAUAUAUGGCAUUCCCUUCUUUUUCAUAUUUGAAAUUCUUCCCUCUGCUUUCUGUGGUAGCCCUGUAGUUUUUCCACAUUUCAUGAAGAAAAAGAGAAGAACAACUACCCAAAAGUUCUUAUACGAAAGAGCUUAACUGAUAGGACCCUUUUGUAGAUAGACGUUGGACCGGUGAGUAGGGUCUAAGACCGUCUCGACGAUGUCGAACAUAAAAUCUACUGUCAGCUGAUCUUUCUAGUGGAGAGGAUUUUUUUUCCUCAGACAAUUAAACAUAAAUGCAGCAGUAGCAAACAUAUAUUUGAUCCCAGACUCUUGAGGGAUGUGAGAUGUUCUUGGAAGAUGAGAAAGAGAAGAGUCGUAUACUUUCAUGGAGGAAAAUGCUAAUUUAACUCUCCUAUAACUCCUUGAAAAGGCCUGAGAUUGAUCCAGACAACAAAUCAAGAGGUCAUGAACUUGCCUCAUAUUAUGACACCUUGUAGAAACCUCUUAGUUAAAUUGACCCCUUAGAACAUAAAGAUCGAGAAAAGGCUUGGAACCGAUAACUCCUUUGCAGCUGUUGAGUUCAGAGCAUUAUGGCUACCCAUGGAAUUGGAAACCUUGACAUGUGACGAUGGGGAUUCGAGUAGCUUUGUGUUGGCUGUGGUGCUUGUGGAUAUGAACUGAACUUGAGCUCUUCUAACCGCAAUAUAUCGACCAUUGGCUCUAAAUAUGGAAAAUCAAUAAAGCGAGG